RNAcentral lists this ribosomal RNA (492 nucleotides) under uncultured bacterium. RNAcentral's name for it is "partial 16S ribosomal RNA". It matches the Rfam family "Bacterial small subunit ribosomal RNA", at positions 29 to 507 of the family's 1533-position model. The record is from RNAcentral.
AGUGAACGCUGGCGGUAGGCCUAACACAUGCAAGUCGAACGGCAGCACAGUAAGAGCUUGCUCUUACGGGUGGCGAGUGGCGGACGGGUGAGGAAUACAUCGGAUUCUACUUUUUCGUGGGGGAUAACGUAGGGAAACUUACGCUAAUACCGCAUACGACCUACGGGUGAAAGCAGGGGAUCUUCGGACCUUGCGCGAUUGAAUGAGCCGAUGUCGGAUUAGCUAGUUGGCGGGGUAAAGGCCCACCAAGGCGACGAUCCGUAGCAGGUCUGAGAGGAUGAUCAGCCACACUGGAACUGAGACACGGUCCAGACUCCUACGGGAGGCAGCAGUGGGGAAUAUUGGACAAUGGGCGCAAGCCUGAUCCAGCCAUACCGCGUGGGUGAAGAAGGCCUUCGGGUUGUAAAGCCCUUUUGUUGGGAAAGAAAAGCAGCAGGUUAAUACCCCGCUGUUCUGACGGUACCCAAAGAAUAAGCACCGGCUAACUUCGUG